RNAcentral lists this ribosomal RNA (933 nucleotides) under Salmonella enterica. RNAcentral's name for it is "partial 23S ribosomal RNA". It matches the Rfam family "Bacterial large subunit ribosomal RNA", at positions 1 to 973 of the family's 2925-position model. RNAcentral also lists the same sequence under 3 other names. The record is from RNAcentral. Lineage: Bacteria; Pseudomonadati; Pseudomonadota; Gammaproteobacteria; Enterobacterales; Enterobacteriaceae.
GGUUAAGCGACUAAGCGUACACGGUGGAUGCCCUGGCAGUCAGAGGCGAUGAAGGACGUGCUAAUCUGCGAUAAGCGCCGGUAAGGUGAUAUGAACCGUUAUAACCGGCGAUUUCCGAAUGGGGAAACCCAGUGUGAUUCGUCACACUAUCAUUAACUGAAUCCAUAGGUUAAUGAGGCGAACCGGGGGAACUGAAACAUCUAAGUACCCCGAGGAAAAGAAAUCAACCGAGAUUCCCCCAGUAGCGGCGAGCGAACGGGGAGGAGCCCAGAGCCUGAAUCAGCAUGUGUGUUAGUGGAAGCGUCUGGAAAGGCGCGCGAUACAGGGUGACAGCCCCGUACACAAAAGCGCAUGUGCUGUGAGCUCGAUGAGUAGGGCGGGACACGUGGUAUCCUGUCUGAAUAUGGGGGGACCAUCCUCCAAGGCUAAAUACUCCUGACUGACCGAUAGUGAACCAGUACCGUGAGGGAAAGGCGAAAAGAACCCCGGCGAGGGGAGUGAAAAAGAACCUGAAACCGUGUACGUACAAGCAGUGGGAGCACAGGUUUACCUGUGUGACUGCGUACCUUUUGUAUAAUGGGUCAGCGACUUAUAUUCUGUAGCAAGGUUAACCGUAUAGGGGAGCCGGAGGGAAACCGAGUCUUAACCGGGCGUUAAGUUGCAGGGUAUAGACCCGAAACCCGGUGAUCUAGCCAUGGGCAGGUUGAAGGUUGGGUAACACUAACUGGAGGACCGAACCGACUAAUGUUGAAAAAUUAGCGGAUGACCUGUGGCUGGGGGUGAAAGGCCAAUCAAACCGGGAGAUAGCUGGUUCUCCCCGAAAGCUAUUUAGGUAGCGCCUCGUGAAUUCAUCUCCGGGGGUAGAGCACUGUUUCGGCUAGGGGGCCAUCCCGGCUUACCAACCCGAUGCAAACUGCGAAUACCGGAGAAUGU